RNAcentral lists this ribosomal RNA (407 nucleotides) under uncultured bacterium. RNAcentral describes it as "partial 16S ribosomal RNA". It matches the Rfam family "Bacterial small subunit ribosomal RNA", at positions 28 to 526 of the family's 1533-position model. The record is from RNAcentral.
GACGAACGCUGGCGGCGUGCCUAAUACAUGCAAGUAGAACGCAGUUGCGAACGGGUGAGUAACGCGUAGGUAACUGCCUCAUAGCGGGGGAUAACUAUUAGAAACGAUAGCUAAUACCGCAUACUGUUAGAUGUCCCUUCGUUGUAUUAGCUAGUUGGUGAGGUAAAGGCUCACCAAGGCGACGAUACAUAGCCGACCUGAGAGGGUGAUCGGCUAUACUGGGACUGAGACAAGGACCAGACUCCGACGGGAGGCAGCAGUAGGGAAUCGUCGGCAAUGGACGGAAGUAUGACCGAGUAACGCUGCGUGAGUGAAGAAGGUUUUCGGAUCGUAAAGCUCUGUUGUUAGAGAAGCGGUAACUAAACAGAAAGGGACGGCUAACUACGUGCCAGCAGCCGCGGUAAUUC